GGCCUUGUAGCUCAAAUGGAUAGAGCAUUGGCUCUACUAAAGCCUUCCCCUUUAUAUGGAGGGUUCGAAUCUCACCGAGGCCG
RNAcentral lists this transfer RNA (83 nucleotides) under Schistocephalus solidus. It matches the Rfam family "tRNA". From Rfam's summary of the family: Transfer RNA (tRNA) molecules are approximately 80 nucleotides in length. Their secondary structure includes four short double-helical elements and three loops (D, anti-codon, and T loops). Further hydrogen bonds mediate the characteristic L-shaped molecular structure. tRNAs have two regions of fundamental functional importance: the anti-codon, which is responsible for specific mRNA codon recognition, and the 3' end, to which the tRNAs corresponding amino acid is attached (by aminoacyl-tRNA synthetases). tRNAs cope with the degeneracy of the genetic code in two manners: having more than one tRNA (with a specific anti-codon) for a particular amino acid; and 'wobble' base-pairing, i.e. permitting non-standard base-pairing at the 3rd anti-codon position. The record is from Rfam by way of RNAcentral. Lineage: Eukaryota; Metazoa; Platyhelminthes; Cestoda; Diphyllobothriidea; Diphyllobothriidae.